Molecule: transfer RNA, 61 nt
Filed under: marine eukaryotic metagenome
Rfam family: tRNA
About the family: Transfer RNA (tRNA) molecules are approximately 80 nucleotides in length. Their secondary structure includes four short double-helical elements and three loops (D, anti-codon, and T loops).
Source: RNAcentral
GCUAGCUCAGUUGGUUAGAGCGACUGGUUUACACCCAGUAGGUCACAGGUUCGAGUCCUGU